UACAGGCUUAACACAUGCAAGUCGAGGGGCAGCAUGGUCUUAGCUUGCUAAGGCCGAUGGCGACCGGCGCACAGGUGAGUAACACGUAUCCAACCUGCCGUCUACUCUUGGACAGCCUUCUGAAAGGAAGAUUAAUACAAGAUGGCAUCAUGAGUCCGCAUGUUCACAUGAUUAAAGGUAUUCCGGUAGACGAUGGGGAUGCGUUCCAUUAGAUAGUAGGCGGGGUAACGGCCCACCUAGUCUUCGAUGGAUAGGGGUUCUGAGAGGAAGGUCCCCCACAUUGGAACUGAGACACGGUCCAAACUCCUACGGGAGGCAGCAGUGAGGAAUAUUGGUCAAUGGGCGAGAGCCUGAACCAGCCAAGUAGCGUGAAGGAUGACUGCCCUAUGGGUUGUAAACUUCUUUUAUAAAGGAAUAAAGUCGGGUAUGCAUACCCGUUUGCAUGUACUUUAUGAAUAAGGAUCGGCUAACUCCGUGCCAGCAGCCGCGGUAAUACGGAGGAUCCGAGCGUUAUCCGGAUUUAUUGGGUUUAAAGGGAGCGUAGAUGGAUGUUUAAGUCAGUUGUGAAAGUUUGCGGCUCAACCGUAAAAUUGCAGUUGAUACUGGAUAUCUUGAGUGCAGUUGAGGCAGGCGGAAUUCGUGGUGUAGCGGUGAAAUGCUUAGAUAUCACGAAGAACUCCGAUUGCGAAGGCAGCCUGCUAAGCUGCAACUGACAUUGAGGCUCGAAAGUGUGGGUAUCAAACAGGAUUAGAUACCCUGGUAGUCCACACGGUAAACGAUGAAUACUCGCUGUUUGCGAUAUACGGCAAGCGGCCAAGCGAAAGCGUUAAGUAUUCCACCUGGGGAGUACGCCGGCAACGGUGAAACUCAAAGGAAUUGACGGGGGCCCGCACAAGCGGAGGAACAUGUGGUUUAAUUCGAUGAUACGCGAGGAACCUUACCCGGGCUUAAAUUGCAGAUGAAUUACGGUGAAAGCCGUAAGCCGCAAGGCAUCUGUGAAGGUGCUGCAUGGUUGUCGUCAGCUCGUGCCGUGAGGUGUCGGCUUAAGUGCCAUAACGAGCGCAACCCUUGUUGUCAGUUACUAACAGGUUCCGCUGAGGACUCUGACAAGACUGCCAUCGUAAGAUGUGAGGAAGGUGGGGAUGACGUCAAAUCAGCACGGCCCUUACGUCCGGGGCUACACACGUGUUACAAUGGGGGGUACAGAGGGCCGCUACCACGCGAGUGGAUGCCAAUCCCCAAAACCUCUCUCAGUUCGGACUGGAGUCUGCAACCCGACUCCACGAAGCUGGAUUCGCUAGUAAUCGCGCAUCAGCCACGGCGCGGUGAAUACGUUCCCGGGCCUUGUACACACCGCCCGUCAAGCCAUGGGAGCCGGGGGUACCUGAAGUGCGUAACCGCGAGGAGCGCCCUAGGGUAAAACUGGUGACUGGGGCUAAGUA
Molecule: ribosomal RNA, 1442 nt
Filed under: uncultured organism
Description: SSU rRNA
Rfam family: Bacterial small subunit ribosomal RNA
Source: RNAcentral